Molecule: unclassified non-coding RNA, 801 nt
Filed under: Hevea brasiliensis (rubber tree)
Lineage: Eukaryota; Viridiplantae; Streptophyta; Magnoliopsida; Malpighiales; Euphorbiaceae
Source: RNAcentral
AAACUACCCACUACUUACUGUAACUAUAUAACUCUCUUCCUAAUUCCUAUGAUCAGUCACAACACAUAUUGCAUCGAUUAAACCAACAUUAGUUCUCACAUUCUUUAAUCAGUAUAUCUGUUGGAUCUUUCAAGGAGAGAAAAAAGAAGACCACUAACAUGGCAUCUGCUGUGGGUCUGUUUUGUACUUGCUUUCUAGUCUUUCUAGCAUCCAUGAAUGGUUUGGCUGAUGCAGGAAGGUUGUUCAAAGUGGGUGAUGAGUUGGGUUGGCAAGAGCCUGGAGGCAACAACACUGCAGUUUAUAGCCAAUGGGCUGAAAGGAACAGAUUUCAAGUUGAAGAUUCUCUCUUAUUCGAGUACAAGAAUGACUCGGUUAUUCAGGUUGACAAAUGGGGUUAUUACCAUUGCAACACCAGCAAACCUAUUGUUGCCUUCAACAAUGGGAGGAGUACUUUCAAUCUUGAAAGGCCAGGACCUUUCUACUUUAUUAGUGGAGCCUCUGAUCACUGCAGAAAUGGCCAGCGUUUGAUUGUGGAAGUGAUGGGUAUGCACCACCAAAGAUCACAUUCUCCACCAUCCAUUGCAAAUCCACCUGAAUCUAACCUGGCACCAUCACCACAGCCAAGUUCAGGAGCAGUAGUCUCAGUGAGACUUGUUUCAGUCUUAGUGGUUGUUCUUGCCACAUUAGAAACUUUACUAUUGUCAUCUUAAGCAGUUUUCAGUUAUGGUUGUUUUAGUUAUUUGACAUUUAUUCUUUGUCAAUUGGUGUCAGGUUCCAGCUAGCUAUUGGAAUCCUUUGUCG